GCCUGGGUGGCUCAGUUGGUUGAGCAUCUGACUUCAGCUCAGAUCAGGCUCUCAUGGCUGGUGGGUUUGAGCCCCGCAUUGGGCU
Molecule: transfer RNA, 85 nt
Filed under: Puma concolor (puma)
Lineage: Eukaryota; Metazoa; Chordata; Mammalia; Carnivora; Felidae
Also listed under: 2 other names
Rfam family: tRNA
About the family: Transfer RNA (tRNA) molecules are approximately 80 nucleotides in length. Their secondary structure includes four short double-helical elements and three loops (D, anti-codon, and T loops).
Source: Rfam by way of RNAcentral